GGGGGGUGGACUAUGUGUACAAAGUAACUCUUCUUGAGAUACAGUAUGCCAAUGACUAUGAUCGAUACCUGAUGCAUGUAACGAACGUCUUUAAGAGCGGAACCGAUGACAAAGUUCUGAACCAGAAGCGUACCUUCAUCAGCCAUGUUAAAUGUCGGGAUACCCUGAAGUUUAAGCAAGGGCUGGAUUACAUAAUAUUCGGCACGUUUAAUGAUGUUUGGC
Long non-coding RNA from Nanorana parkeri, 222 nucleotides. RefSeq lists it as uncharacterized. The record is from RefSeq and is a predicted model, not a curated record. Lineage: Eukaryota; Metazoa; Chordata; Amphibia; Anura; Dicroglossidae. The transcript is spliced from 3 exons.